GUCACAAAUUGCCACUAUGAGCAGAGAAAGGUGUGAGAGGUCACAGAGGCCGGGCCUGUGACAGAGAGCUCACGGGUGUCCUGCUGUGGGUGAAUUUGGAAACACACCCCUCUGGGAUCUGCAGGGCAUGGCAUGUGUUGGGAGCAAUGGCCGUGCCCCUCUGUUCUCACACACCAGGCCGUGUCCCCCAGGGGAAGCAGCCAUGCUCUGCAAUACCUCUCAAUCGGUGCAGUUUACAGUCCCGUCUGCUGACUCAGGGCCUGACCGGAUGCCAACGGAUGCCAACGGGGACGAAGCGACCGCGUCAUGUCUCAGCUCAGCCCCUCGGCACUCAGCUUCCAUGAGGAGAGCGUGCCAGCGGCGGCCAGCGGCGGCCACCGGCCGGGACCCGUGCAUUUCGGAUGAGAGAUGCAUGGAGCCAGCCUGCCGCCCGGGGAAGAGGCCGCAUAGCCAGGUGCACACAGACCUCUGGCUCCGCUAAGACACUGAGAUGUGCAGACGUUUGCUGUUGCAGCCCACGGUGAUCAGUACAGUCACCUGGGAUUUUUGAUGCACAGGGAUCUCCAGGAGCUGGUUGGGUCCCCGUUCCUCAAGAGGUGUUUAGAUCUGUACGGAAGACAUCGUGCCUGAAUUCACCUGUCACCUUGAAGGCUCUUCUUCCCAGUUGUUCAGUCUCACCUGUGAAACUUUUAGGUGUACCAUGUGUCUUCACUGUAGUAGUUUUGUUGCUAUAGUUUCCCCCCAGUCUCUGCUUCAUGGUUCAUUCAGACACUCACAUGUCUGUUUCCUAGGUCAGUAUGUGAUCCUCCCCUUAAUGGAGUUCCAGACUCCAGUGCUGUGUGUCUCGUCUGCCUCUGCUCUGCAUGUGCUCCCGCUUCUGUUCUUGUGUUCCUGCUAGUGUCUAACCUACCAUCCUGUGUCCCCAGUCCUGAUCCCUGACCUGUCACCCCACCCCCAUCCUAGUCCUUGACCCCUUAGUCCCACUCUUUUUUUUUUAAUUUUAUUUUUUAUUUUUUAAAAUUUACAUCCAAAUUAGUCAGCAUAUAGUGUAACAAUGAUUUCAGGAGCAGAUUCCUUAGUGCCCCUUACCCAUUUAGCCCAUCCCCCCUCCCACAACCCCUCCCAUUAACCAUCAGUUUGUUCUCCAUAUUUCUAAGUCUCUUCUGUUUUGUCUCCCUCCCUGUGUUUAUAUUAUUUUUAUUUCCCUUCCCUUAUGUUCAUCUGUUUUGUCUCUUAAAGUCCUCAUGAGUGAAGUCAUACGAUUUUUGUCUUUCUCUGACUGCCCUUGGUCCCACUCUUAUCCUCCUUUGCCUUGUGGCGAAAGGACUCUGAUGAAUUGUUCGAGACAAUUUAAAGUUAUGCCAAAACAUGUAAUUAGGGGAUAUCGUAUUCAGCGGAUUGGUUUUGGAAAUUAGAUCAUGGAGAGUCGGUUAUUCAGAGCUUUGGCUUUGAGGCAUUGAGAAAAUCCCAGCGCCCGGACG
This 1481-nucleotide long non-coding RNA is filed under the name Felis catus (domestic cat). RNAcentral's name for it is "lncRNA (ENSFCAG00000049189.1)". The record is from RNAcentral. Lineage: Eukaryota; Metazoa; Chordata; Mammalia; Carnivora; Felidae.